UACGUAGGGGGCUAGCGUUGCUCGGAAUCACUGGGCGUAAAGGGUGCGUAGGCGGGUCUUUAAGUCAGGGGUGAAAUCCUGGAGCUCAACUCCAGAACUGCCUUUGAUACUGAAGAUCUUGAGUUCGGGAGAGGUGAGUGGAACUGCGAGUGUAGAGGUGAAAUUCGUAGAUAUUCGCAAGAACACCAGUGGCGAAGGCGGCUCACUGGCCCGAUACCGACGCUGAGGCACGAAAGCGUGGGGAGCAAACAGG
Molecule: ribosomal RNA, 253 nt
Filed under: uncultured bacterium
Lineage: Bacteria
Description: partial 16S ribosomal RNA
Rfam family: Bacterial small subunit ribosomal RNA
Source: RNAcentral